UGGGGAAUAUUGCACAAUGGGCGCAAGCCUGAUGCCGCCAUGUCGCGUGUGUGAAGAAGGCCUUCGGGUUGUAAAGCACUUUCAGCGGGGAGGAAGGCGUUAAGGUUAAUAACCUUGGCGAUUGACGUUACCCGCAGAAGAAGCACCGGCUAACUCCGUGCCAGCAGCCGCGGUAAUACGGAGGGUGCAAGCGUUAAUCGGAAUUACUGGGCGUAAAGCGCACGCAGGCGGUCUGUCAAGUCGGAUGUGAAAUCCCCGGGCUCAAACUGGGAACUGCAUUCGAAACUGGCAGGCUAGAGUCUUGUAGGGGGGGGUAGAAUUCCAGGUGUAGCGGUGAAAUGCGUAGAGAUCUGGGGGAAUACCGGUGGCGAAGGCGGCCCCCUGGACAAAGACUGACGCUCAGGUGCGAAAGCGGGGGGAGCAAACAGG
Molecule: ribosomal RNA, 429 nt
Filed under: Chloroflexota bacterium
Lineage: Bacteria; Bacillati; Chloroflexota
Description: Chloroflexi bacterium partial 16S ribosomal RNA
Rfam family: Bacterial small subunit ribosomal RNA
Source: RNAcentral